CCUACGGGAGGCAGCAGUGGGGGAUAUUGGACAAUGGGGGGAACCCUGAUCCAGCGACGCCGCGUGAGUGAAGAAGUAUUUCGGUAUGUAAAGCUCUGUCAGCAGGGAAGAAAGAAAUGACGGUACCUGACCACGAAGCCCCGGCUAACUACGUGCCAGCAGCCGCGGUAAUACGUAGGGGGCAAGCGUUAUCCGGAAUUACUGGGUGUAAAGGGAGCGUAGACGGUUAAGUAAGUCUGGAGUGAAAUCCCAUGGAUUAACCAUGGAACUGCUUUGGAAACUGUGCAGCUAGAGUGCAGGAGAGGUAAGCGGAAUUCGUAGUGUAGCGGUGAAAUGCGUAGAUAUUAGGAGGAACACCAGUGGCGAAGGCGGCUUACUGGACUGUAACUGACGUUGAGGCUCGAAAGCGUGGGGAGCAAACAGGAUUAGAUACCCCUGUAGUC
This 443-nucleotide ribosomal RNA is filed under the name uncultured bacterium. Its description in RNAcentral is "partial 16S ribosomal RNA". It matches the Rfam family "Bacterial small subunit ribosomal RNA", at positions 338 to 795 of the family's 1533-position model. The record is from RNAcentral.